This 88-nucleotide transfer RNA is filed under the name Cyphobasidiales sp. Tagirdzhanova-0007. Its description in RNAcentral is "tRNA-Trp". It matches the Rfam family "tRNA". From Rfam's summary of the family: Transfer RNA (tRNA) molecules are approximately 80 nucleotides in length. Their secondary structure includes four short double-helical elements and three loops (D, anti-codon, and T loops). Lineage: Eukaryota; Fungi; Basidiomycota; Cystobasidiomycetes; Cyphobasidiales. The record is from RNAcentral.
GGGGAAUUAGCUCAGCGGUACGAGCGUUCGACUCCAGUCCAAUGGGCAAGGCAUCGAUUGGUCACCUGUUCAAUCCGGGUAUUCCUCA